RNAcentral lists this small RNA (28 nucleotides) under Bombyx mori (domestic silkworm). RNAcentral describes it as "ovarian small RNA-21256". Lineage: Eukaryota; Metazoa; Arthropoda; Insecta; Lepidoptera; Bombycidae. The record is from RNAcentral.
UACUACAUGGGCGAUGAUCUGGUAACCU